Molecule: ribosomal RNA, 644 nt
Filed under: uncultured bacterium
Lineage: Bacteria
Description: bacterial SSU rRNA
Rfam family: Bacterial small subunit ribosomal RNA (bases 1-542)
Source: RNAcentral
CCUACGGGAGGCAGCAGUAAGGAAUAUUGGUCAAUGGACGCAAGUCUGAACCAGCCAUGCCGCGUGCAGGAUGAAGGCCCUCUGGGUUGUAAACUGCUUUUAUCUGGGAAGAAAAUACCCUUUUCUAAGGGAGUUGACGGUACCAGAGGAAUAAGCACCGGCUAACUCCGUGCCAGCAGCCGCGGUAAUACGGAGGGUGCAAGCGUUAUCCGGAUUCACUGGGUUUAAAGGGUGCGUAGGCGGGUUUUUAAGUCAGUGGUGAAAGCUUCCCGCUCAACGGGAAAACUGCCAUUGAUACUAUUAAUCUUGAAUUCAGUUGAGGUCGGCGGAAUGUGUCGUGUAGAGGUGAAAUUCUUAGAUAUGACACAGAACACCAAUUGCGAAGGCAGCUGGCUAAACUGAUAUUGACGCUGAGGCACGAAAGCGUGGGGAUCAAACAGGAUUAGAUACCCUGGUAGUCCACGCCCUAAACUAUGAUCACUCGAAGUUGGCGAUAUACUGCCCACGCCUACUACGACAAACGACAUUAAGUAGAUACCACCGUACGGGUAGGUACGAGUCGCGAAGAGUUAGUAACGUAACGAAAGUAAGUUAGUACGGACGUAGAGACGUACGACCGAACGGACGACGACGGAGGGAGGAGG